RNAcentral lists this ribosomal RNA (582 nucleotides) under Butyriboletus persolidus. RNAcentral describes it as "eukaryotic LSU rRNA". It matches the Rfam family "Eukaryotic large subunit ribosomal RNA", at positions 20 to 601 of the family's 3401-position model. The record is from RNAcentral. Lineage: Eukaryota; Fungi; Basidiomycota; Agaricomycetes; Boletales; Boletaceae.
ACUACCCGCUGAACUUAAGCAUAUCAAUAAGCGGAGGAAAAGAAACUAACAAGGAUUCCCCUAGUAACUGCGAGUGAAGCGGGAAGAGCUCAAAUUUUGAAUCUGGCAGUCCUUGGCUGUCCGAGUUGUAAUCUAGAGAAGUGUUUUCCGCGCUGGACCGUGUAUAAGUCUCCUGGAAGGGAGCGUCAUAGAGGGUGAGAAUCCCGUCUUUGACAUGGACUACCAGUGCUAUGUGAUGCGCUCUCGACGAGUCGAGUUGUUUGGGAAUGCAGCUCAAAAUGGGUGGUAAACUCCAUCUAAAGCUAAAUACAGGCGAGAGACCGAUAGCGAACAAGUACCGUGAGGGAAAGAUGAAAAGAACUUUGGAAAGAGAGUUAAACAGUACGUGAAAUUGCUGAAAGGGAAACGCUUGAUGUCAGUCACGUUGGCUGGGGAUCAACCUUGCUUCUCGCUGGGUGUACUUCCCGGUCGACGGGUCAGCAUCAGUUUCAGUCGCUGUACAAGGGUGAGGGGAACGUGGCACUCCUCGGAGUGUGUUAUAGCCUUUCAUCGUAUGCAGUGGUCGGGACUGAGGAGCUCAGC